This 440-nucleotide ribosomal RNA is filed under the name uncultured bacterium. RNAcentral's name for it is "partial 16S ribosomal RNA". It matches the Rfam family "Bacterial small subunit ribosomal RNA", at positions 338 to 795 of the family's 1533-position model. The record is from RNAcentral.
CCUACGGGCGGCAGCAGUGGGGAAUAUUGCACAAUGGGGGGAACCCUGAUGCAGCGACGCCGCGUGAGUGAAGAAGUAUUUCGGUAUGUAAGGCUCUAUCAGCAGGGAAGAAAAUGACGGUACCUGAGUAAGAAGCCCCGGCUAACUACGUGCCAGCAGCCGCGGUAAUACGUAGGGGGCAAGCGUUAUCCGGAUUUACUGGGUGUAAAGGGAGCGUAGACGGCAGAGCAAGUCUGGAGUGAAAGGCGGGGGCUCAACCGCGGGACUGCUUUGGAAACUGCACGGCUGGAGUGCAGGAGAGGUAAGCGGAAUUCCUAGUGUAGCGGUGAAAUGCGUAGAUAUUAGGAGGAACACCAGUGGCGAAGGCGGCUUACUGGACAGUAACUGACGUUGAGGCUCGAAAGCGUGGGGAGCAAACAGGAUUAGAUACCCUGGUAGUC